Molecule: ribosomal RNA, 1049 nt
Filed under: unidentified archaeon
Lineage: Archaea
Description: bacterial SSU rRNA
Rfam family: Archaeal small subunit ribosomal RNA
Source: RNAcentral
UCCGGUUGAUCCUGCCAGAGGUUACUGCUAUCGGUGUUCGCCUAAGCCAUGCGAGUCAUAUGUAGCAAUACAUGGCGUACUGCUCAGUAACACGUGGAUAACCUGCCCUUGGGUCCGGCAUAACCCCGGGAAACUGGGGAUAAUUCCGGAUAACGCAUAUGUGCUGGAAUGCUUUAUGCGUCAAAUGGAUUCGUCCGCCCAAGGAUGGGUCUGCGGCCUAUCAGGUAGUAGUGGGUGUAAUGUACCUACUAGCCAGCGACGGGUACGGGUUGUGAGAGCAAGAGCCCGGAGAUGGAUUCUGAGACAUGAAUCCAGGCCCUACGGGGCGCAGCAGGCGCGAAAACUUUACAAUGCGGGAAACCGUGAUAAGGGGACACCGAGUGUCAGCAUCAUAUGCUGGCUGUCCAGGUGUGUAAAAUACACCUGUUAGCAAGGGCCGGGCAAGACCGGUGCCAGCCGCCGCGGUAACACCGGCGGCCCGAGUGGUGAUCGUGAUUAUUGGGUCUAAAGGGUCCGUAGCCGGUUUGGUCAGUCCUCCGGGAAAUCUGAUAGCUCAACUAUUAGGCUAUCGGGGGAUACUACCAGGCUUGGAACCGGGAGAGGUAAGAGGUACUACAGGGGUAGGAGUGAAAUCUUGUAAUCCCUGUGGGACCACCUGUGGCGAAGGCGUCUUACCAGAACGGGUUCGACGGUGAGGGACGAAAGCUGGGGACACGAACCGGAUUAGAUACCCGGGUAGUCCCAGCCGUAAACGAUGCUCGCUAGGUGUCAGGCAUGGCGCGACCGUGUCUGGUGCCGCAGGGAAGCCGUGAAGCGAGCCACCUGGGAAGUACGGCCGCAAGGCUGAAACUUAAAGGAAUUGGCGGGGGAGCACAACAACGGGUGGAGCCUGCGGUUUAAUUGGACUCAACGCCGGACAACUCACCGGGGGCGACAGCAAUAUGUAGGCCAAGCUGAAGACUUUGCCUGAAUCGCUGAGAGGAGGUGCAUGGCCGUCGCCAGUUCGUACUGUGAAGCAUCCUGUUAAGUCAGGUAACGAGCGAGACCCA